GACGAACGCUGGCGGCGUGCUUAAUACAUGCAAGUUGAGCGGAGCCAUUGAUGAAGCUUGCGAUUCAAUGGUCGAGCGGCGGACGGGUGAGUAACGCGUGGGCAACCUGCCCUCUAGUCUGGGAUAACAGUUCGAAAGGGCUGCUAACACCGGAUAAGCUCACGGAGAGGCAUCUUUCAGUGAGAAAAGUUUACGCUAGAGGAUGGGCCCGCGUCCCAUUAGCUAGUUGGUGAGGUAACGGCUCACCAAGGCGCCGAUGGGUAGCCGACCUGAGAGGGUGACCGGCCACACUGGGACUGAGACACGGCCCAGACUCCUACGGGAGGCAGCAGUAGGGAAUUUUCCGCAAUGGGCGAAAGCCUGACGGAGCAACGCCGCGUGAGGGAAGAAGGUCUUCGGAUCGUAAACCUCUGUCUUCAGGGACGAUGAUGACGGUACCUGAGGAGGAAGCCACGGCUAACUACGUGCCAGCAGCCGCGGUAAUACGUAGGUGGCGAGCGUUGUCCGGAAUUACUGGGCGUAAAGGGCGUGUAGGCGGCCAUUUAAGUCAGAUGUGAAAUACCAUGGCUUAACCAUGGGACUGCAUUUGAGACUGGAUGGCUUGAGGAUCGGAGAGGGCAGUGGAAUUCCCAGUGUAGCGGUGAAAUGCGUAGAUAUUGGGAGGAACACCAGUGGCGAAGGCGACUGCCUGGACGACACCUGACGCUGAGGCGCGAAAGCUAGGGGAGCAAACGGGAUUAGAUACCCCGGUAGUCCUAGCGUAAACGAUGGGUACUAGGUGUGGGAGGUAUCGACCCCUUCCGUGCCGCAGUUAACACAAUAAGUACCCCGCCUGGGGAGUACGGCCGCAAGGUUGA
RNAcentral lists this ribosomal RNA (857 nucleotides) under uncultured bacterium. RNAcentral's name for it is "bacterial SSU rRNA". It matches the Rfam family "Bacterial small subunit ribosomal RNA", at positions 28 to 897 of the family's 1533-position model. The record is from RNAcentral.